CGGUGGGUCUUAGGCGGGGGGCUAGGGGUCCCCUGUACCGUAAACCCCCUAUAUGACGGGCCGAAAGCUGAGGCUGAGGCGCCUGUGGCCGCCCAUCCCCUCUCUCUUCCGAAGCGGUGACCAUCCGUCCCUUGGGGUCGGCGGUCGCCGGGCGGCCUCCGUAGGGAGGCUUGCCACGGUGUUUGCCGGGUGAACCUGGCUAGGCCCGGGAGGGAGCAACCUAAGCCUGGACGUUCGGCGCUCAAGGGGGUGCGGGUGCGAGUGUAGGGUUUGAGGGGGUGGGUGGAUUCUGGGCGUCGAACCUCAGUGACCCACCG
Molecule: signal recognition particle RNA, 317 nt
Filed under: Candidatus Bathyarchaeota archaeon
Lineage: Archaea; Thermoproteati; Candidatus Bathyarchaeota
Also listed under: 1 other name
Description: signal recognition particle sRNA
Rfam family: Archaeal signal recognition particle RNA
Source: RNAcentral